GUAGGUGGCAAGCGUUGUCCGGAAUUAUUGGGCGUAAAGCGCGCGCAGGCGGUUUUUUAAGUCUGAUGUGAAAGCCCACGGGCUCAACCGUGAGGGUCAUUGGAAACUGGAGAACUUGAGUACAGAAGAGGAAAGCGGAAUUCCACGUGUAGCGGUGAAAUGCGUAGAGAUGUGGAGGAACACCAGUGGCGAAGGCGGCUUUCUGGUCUGUAACUGACGCUGAGGCGCGAAAGCGUGGGGAGCAAACAGGAUUAGAUACCCUGGUAGUCCACGCCGUAAACGAUGAGUGCUAAGUGUUAGGGGGUUUCCGCCCCUUAGUGCUGCAGCUAACGCAUUAAGCACUCCGCCUGGGGAGUACGGCCGCAAAGGCUG
Molecule: ribosomal RNA, 372 nt
Filed under: uncultured organism
Description: partial 16S ribosomal RNA
Rfam family: Bacterial small subunit ribosomal RNA
Source: RNAcentral